This 147-nucleotide unclassified non-coding RNA is filed under the name soil metagenome. Its description in RNAcentral is "partial internal transcribed spacer 1". The record is from RNAcentral.
ACGAAGUUUGUCCUCGGACAAUUUUCUCAUCCUUUUCCUGUGAAUCUUAUUGAUUUUACUUUGGUCAGGAAGUAACAUUCUUGGCCAAAAGAUUAAAACCCAAACUAUUUAAUUUUUACGUCUGAACUGAAAUUAUUGAAUUAAUCA